Molecule: ribosomal RNA, 723 nt
Filed under: Acinetobacter baumannii Naval-18
Lineage: Bacteria; Pseudomonadati; Pseudomonadota; Gammaproteobacteria; Moraxellales; Moraxellaceae
Description: bacterial SSU rRNA
Rfam family: Bacterial small subunit ribosomal RNA
Source: RNAcentral
AUUGAACGCUGGCGGCAGGCUUAACACAUGCAAGUCGAGCGGGGGAAGGUAGCUUGCUACCGGACCUAGCGGCGGACGGGUGAGUAAUGCUUAGGAAUCUGCCUAUUAGUGGGGGACAACAUCUCGAAAGGGAUGCUAAUACCGCAUACGUCCUACGGGAGAAAGCAGGGGAUCUUCGGACCUUGCGCUAAUAGAUGAGCCUAAGUCGGAUUAGCUAGUUGGUGGGGUAAAGGCCUACCAAGGCGACGAUCUGUAGCGGGUCUGAGAGGAUGAUCCGCCACACUGGGACUGAGACACGGCCCAGACUCCUACGGGAGGCAGCAGUGGGGAAUAUUGGACAAUGGGGGGAACCCUGAUCCAGCCAUGCCGCGUGUGUGAAGAAGGCCUUAUGGUUGUAAAGCACUUUAAGCGAGGAGGAGGCUACUUUAGUUAAUACCUAGAGAUAGUGGACGUUACUCGCAGAAUAAGCACCGGCUAACUCUGUGCCAGCAGCCGCGGUAAUACAGAGGGUGCGAGCGUUAAUCGGAUUUACUGGGCGUAAAGCGUGCGUAGGCGGCUUAUUAAGUCGGAUGUGAAAUCCCCGAGCUUAACUUGGGAAUUGCAUUCGAUACUGGUGAGCUAGAGUAUGGGAGAGGAUGGUAGAAUUCCAGGUGUAGCGGUGAAAUGCGUAGAGAUCUGGAGGAAUACCGAUGGCGAAAGCAGCCAUCUGGCCUAAUACUGACG